AACCCGGCCGACAGAAGAUGGCGGAUGAGCAGCGUGCAGGGUUUUCUCCCUGUGGCUCACUCUCUCUUACUGUGCUGGGCGGUUGCUUCCUCUCCUGCUGCCCUUGGGAGUCAGACUCCAGGUUCUUCAGCCUGUGGCCCCUGGGGCUCUCGGGCCUUGGAGGACUGACUAGGAGCACACGGUGGGCCUCUCUGGUUUGGGGGCCUGGGACGUGGCGGAGCCCUGCAGCUUCUGUGCGGCCUGUUCUGGGCGUCGCGUUGAAACGCCAGCCAGUUCCCCAAGUAAGCUCCCUGCACACACGCCUGAUAGCCUGUUGGUUCCGUCCUUCUGCGGGAUUUUCACUACCACUCUCUAACUCACACACAGCAGAAAGAGCAUACGGGAGAGAUGAAGCAGUCCACUCCAAGAACAUUCUCAUCCUACGGAUUACGAGUCCCCCUGGGAUUACAGGAGUGUUGAAGAAAUGUUGUGACACAUCAGAACACCGCGAAAUACAUGGACACUUUCAAAUCAUGGAAGACUCAAGGACAAAGAAGACAGAAAAUACUACACACUACCCAGAGAUUGAAACUGAAGGUGUGAACAACAGAGAAAAGAGAGGGCAAAGAAAAGGAAAACAAAGAAGACGUGGGAUAUGAAAGGUGUAUGCCAUGUGUGGACAUCAAGAAAUGUUUCAGCUCGCACUUCUGCCACCAAUUGAGCCUG
Molecule: long non-coding RNA, 705 nt
Filed under: Homo sapiens (human)
Lineage: Eukaryota; Metazoa; Chordata; Mammalia; Primates; Hominidae
Description: non-protein coding LINC01446:3
Source: RNAcentral